RNAcentral lists this ribosomal RNA (810 nucleotides) under uncultured microorganism. Its description in RNAcentral is "bacterial SSU rRNA". It matches the Rfam family "Archaeal small subunit ribosomal RNA", at positions 85 to 879 of the family's 1478-position model. The record is from RNAcentral.
ACGGCUCAGUAACACGUGGUCAAUCUACCCUCAGGACGGAGAUAACCUCGGGAAACUGAGGCUAAUAUCCGAUAGAUAAUGGAUCCUGGAAUGGUUCAUUAUUCAAACGGCACAUUGCUCAUGCGCAGUGUGUCGCCUGAGGAUGAGACUGCACCCUAUCAGGUAGUUGGUGGGGUAAUGGCCCACCAAGCCUAUAACGGGUACGGGCCCUGAGGGGGGGAGCCCGGAGAUGGGCACUGAGACAAGGGCCCAGGCCCUACGGGGCGCAGCAGGCGCGAAACCUCUGCAAUGCGCGAAAGCGCGACAGGGCCACCCCGAGUGCUAGCCGCUGAGGUUAGCUUUUCCUUAGUGUAGUAAGCUAAGGGAAUAAGCGGGGGGCAAGCCUGGUGUCAGCCGCCGCGGUAAUACCAGCUCCGCGAGUGGUCGGGACGAUUAUUGGGCCUAAAGCGUCCGUAGCCGGCCUAUCAAGUCUCUGGUUAAACCUCAAGGCUCAACCUUGAGAUCGCUGGAGAUACUGUUAGGCUAGGGGGCGGGAGAGGUUGAGGGUACUUCGCGGGUAGGGGCGAAAUCCUAUAAUCCGCGAAGGACCACCAGUGGCGAAGGCGCUCAACUGGAACGCGCCCGACGGUGAGGGACGAAAGCCAGGGGAGCAAAGGGGAUUAGAUACCCCCGUAGUCCUGGCUGUAAACGAUGCGGGCUAGGUGUUGGGUUGGCUUCGUGCCAACCCGGUGCUGCAGUGAAGACGAUAAGCCCGCCGCCUGGGAAGUACGGCUGCAAGGCUGAAACUUAAAGGAAUUGGCGGGGGAGCAC